UUCGCCCUUAGAGUUUGAUCCUGGCUCAGGACGAACGCUGGCGGCAUGCCUAACACAUGCAAGUCGAACGGAAGUAGCAAUACUUUAGUGGCGAACGGGUGAGUAACACGUGAGCAACCUGCCCUGUACUACGGGAUAACUCCGAGAAAUUGGAGAUAAUACGGUAUAUGACCACACUGCGGCAUCGCAGAGGGGUGAAAGCAAUAUAGUAGCGGUACAGGAUGGGCUCGCGUCCAAUUAGCUUGUUGGCGGGGUAAUGGCCCACCAAGGCGACGAUUGGUAGCCGACUUGAGAGAGUGAUCGGCCACACUGGAACUGAGACACGGUCCAGACUCCUACGGGAGGCAGCAGUGGGGAAUAUUGGGCAAUGGAGGCAACUCUUACCCAGCAAUGCCGCGUGAAUGAUGAAGGUCUUUUGAUUGUGAAAUUCAACAAACAGGGACGAAUAAAAUGACGGUACCUGAUUGGAAGCCCCGGCUAACUACGUGCCAGCAGCAGCGGUAAUACGUAGGGGGCGAGCGUUGUCCGGAAUGACUGGGCGUAAAGGGUGCGUAGGUGGUCUUAUAAGUUGGAAGUGUAAUACCCAGAGCUUAACUCGGGUGCUGCUUCCAAGACUGUAGGGCUUGAGUGCAGGAGGGGAAAGUGGAAUUCCUAGUGUAGCGGUGGAAUGCGUAGAUAUUAGGAGGAACACCAGUGGCGAAGGCGGCUUUCUGGACUGUAACUGACACUGAGGCACGAAAGCGUGGGGAGCAAACAGGAUUAGAUACCCUGGUAGUCCACGCCGUAAACGAUGGAUACUAGUUGUUGGGGGUCUCGACCCCUCAGCGACGUCGCUAACGCAAUAAGUAUCCCGCCUGGGGAGUACGGCCGCAAGGUUGAAACUCAAAGGAAUUGACGGGGGCCCGCACAAGCAGCGGAGCAUGUGGUUUAAUUCGAUGCAACGCGAAGAACCUUACCAAGACUUGACAUCGUAUGAUCACUGUAGAAAUAUGGUUUCCCCUCGGGGCAUAUAGACAGGUGGUGCAUGGUUGCCGUCAGCUCGUGUCGUGAGAUGUUGGGUUAAGUCCCGCAACGAGCGCAACCCUUAUUUCUAGUUGCCAAUAUUUAGUUAGGAACUCUAGAGAGACUGCCGUGGAUAACACGGAGGAAGGUGGGGAUGACGUCGAAUCAUCAUGCCCCUUACGUCUUGGGCUACACACGUGCUACAAUGGCUAUUACAAAGAGCUGCGAGCUGGUAACAGUAAGCGAAUCUCAUAAAGAUAGUCUCAGUUCGGAUUGUGGGCUGCAACCCGCCCACAUGAAGUAGGAGUUGCUAGUAAUCCCGAAUCAGAAUGUCGGGGUGAAUGAAGUCCCGGGCCUUGUACACACCGCCCGUCA
RNAcentral lists this ribosomal RNA (1377 nucleotides) under uncultured bacterium. RNAcentral describes it as "16S ribosomal RNA". It matches the Rfam family "Bacterial small subunit ribosomal RNA". The record is from RNAcentral.